AGAGACGUGGUGCCAAAGUCUGUGAAUUAUUAAACAGACUGAUACGAUUUAUCUGGGUAACCACGAGAACAAAAAAGGUCUUUCCCAAAGAUGUUAUUUUCUUUCUUCUGUAUUUGCACAAGGCAAGUAUUACAUUCCUCAUGACAGACCUUUUUUGGACUUCUGCAGUAGCCGUACAGAAGCCCUGACCCUGGCCGAGGCGGUCCUUGUUGUACUGUGGUCACAUUCCUGAGACGAGAAGUUCAAAGGGCACAGAGCAGCAGGGGUUUUAUGGAGCAUGACGGAAGUGAAUCAUGGACCAGUGUCCUCAGUCUGUCCACCAGUCUGCUCCGGCCGAGGCCCUCAUGCCCAGCUCUCACCCCCAGCCGUGGAGCUCAGAGGCUGGGGUAGACUGACGUCAAGGCCCCUCGUCUCUGUGAAAGGACUUCGUAGUUGCUGUAGAAAAGUGAACUGUGCAUCAUAUGGCUGCAGUUUGGGAAGGAAAACACUGGAGCCCUGAAAAAAGA
This is a long non-coding RNA of Clupea harengus (Atlantic herring), 506 nucleotides long. RefSeq lists it as uncharacterized. NCBI's taxonomy places the organism in Eukaryota, Metazoa, Chordata, Actinopteri, Clupeiformes, Clupeidae. The record is from RefSeq and is a predicted model, not a curated record.